Molecule: ribosomal RNA, 425 nt
Filed under: uncultured bacterium
Lineage: Bacteria
Description: bacterial SSU rRNA
Rfam family: Bacterial small subunit ribosomal RNA
Source: RNAcentral
GGGCCCGCACAAGCGGUGGAGCAUGUGGUUUAAUUCGAUGAUACGCGAGGAACCUUACCUGGGCUUAAAUGUAGAGUGACAGCUGUAGAAAUACGGUUUUCUUCGGACACUUUACAAGGUGCUGCAUGGUUGUCGUCAGCUCGUGCCGUGAGGUGUCGGGUUAAGUCCCAUAACGAGCGCAACCCCUAUUGUUAGUUGCUAACGAGUAAUGUCGAGGACUCUAGCAAAACUGCCCGCGCAAGCGGUGAGGAAGGUGGGGAUGACGUCAAAUCAUCACGGCCCUUACGUCCAGGGCUACACACGUGCUACAAUGGUAGAGACAGAGGGCAGCCACCCGGCGACGGGGAGCCAAUCCUAAAACUCUAUCUCAGUUCGGAUCGUAGUCUGCAACUCGACUACGUGAAGCUGGAAUCGCUAGUAAUCGG